Molecule: ribosomal RNA, 283 nt
Filed under: Blepharisma japonicum
Lineage: Eukaryota; Ciliophora; Heterotrichea; Heterotrichida; Blepharismidae
Description: partial Bacterial large subunit ribosomal RNA
Rfam family: Bacterial large subunit ribosomal RNA
Source: RNAcentral
GAACGUCGUGAGACAGUUCGGUCCUCUAUCCGCUGUGGGCGUCUGUGAUUUGAGGGGUUCAUUCUCUAGUACGAGAGGACCGAGAAUGACGAACCUCUGGUGUUCCGGUUGUCACGUCAGUGGCAGCGCCGGGUAGCUAUGUUCGGAAGGGAUAAGCGCUGAAAGCAUCUAAGCGCCAAGCCCAUCCCAAGAUAAGAUCACAAUCCCCGCAAGGGGUGAAAGGUCCGGGUAGACCACCCGGUUGAUAGGACAGAAAUGUAAUCGGAGUAAUCCGUUGAGUUUA